This 633-nucleotide ribosomal RNA is filed under the name Klebsiella sp. AIR-NUS-14. Its description in RNAcentral is "bacterial SSU rRNA". It matches the Rfam family "Bacterial small subunit ribosomal RNA", at positions 559 to 1192 of the family's 1533-position model. Lineage: Bacteria; Pseudomonadati; Pseudomonadota; Gammaproteobacteria; Enterobacterales; Enterobacteriaceae. The record is from RNAcentral.
CCCCUGGAUCAACCAAAGACUCUGUCAAGUCGGAUGUGAAAUCCCCGGGCUCAACCUGGGAACUGCAUUCGAAACUGGCAGGCUAGAGUCUUGUAGAGGGGGGUAGAAUUCCAGGUGUAGCGGUGAAAUGCGUAGAGAUCUGGAGGAAUACCGGUGGCGAAGGCGGCCCCCUGGACAAAGACUGACGCUCAGGUGCGAAAGCGUGGGGAGCAAACAGGAUUAGAUACCCUGGUAGUCCACGCCGUAAACGAUGUCGAUUUGGAGGUUGUGCCCUUGAGGCGUGGCUUCCGGAGCUAACGCGUUAAAUCGACCGCCUGGGGAGUACGGCCGCAAGGUUAAAACUCAAAUGAAUUGACGGGGGCCCGCACAAGCGGUGGAGCAUGUGGUUUAAUUCGAUGCAACGCGAAGAACCUUACCUGGUCUUGACAUCCACAGAACUUGCCAGAGAUGGCUUGGUGCCUUCGGGAACUGUGAGACAGGUGCUGCAUGGCUGUCGUCAGCUCGUGUUGUGAAAUGUUGGGUUAAGUCCCGCAACGAGCGCAACCCUUAUCCUUUGUUGCCAGCGGUUCGGCCGGGAACUCAAAGGAGACUGCCAGUGAUAAACUGGAGGAAGGUGGGGAUGACGUCAAGUCA